GCAGAUGGAGGAGCCGCGGCGCAUUAGCUAGUUGUGGGGUAACGGCCGUACCAAGGCGACGAUGCGUAGCCGACCUGAGAGGGUGGACGGCCACGACUGGGACUGAGACACGGCCCAGACUCCUACGGGAGGCGAGCAGUAGGGAAUCUUCCGCAAUGGGCGCAAGCCUGACGGAGCAACGCCGCGUGAGCGAAGAAGGCCUUCGGGUUGUAAAGCUCAGUCACUCGGGAAGAGCGGAUGAGGGAGUGGAAAGCCCUCGUCGAGACGGUACCGAGAGAGGAAGCCCCGGCUAACUACGUG
RNAcentral lists this ribosomal RNA (300 nucleotides) under uncultured bacterium. RNAcentral's name for it is "bacterial SSU rRNA". It matches the Rfam family "Bacterial small subunit ribosomal RNA", at positions 217 to 507 of the family's 1533-position model. The record is from RNAcentral.